Molecule: ribosomal RNA, 100 nt
Filed under: Acanthosepion pharaonis
Lineage: Eukaryota; Metazoa; Mollusca; Cephalopoda; Sepiida; Sepiidae
Source: RNAcentral
CGUUGUAACACCGGUCCUCGUACGAUCACUGAAGUUAAGCAACGUCGAGCCGGGUCAGUGCUUAGAUGGGUGAGCGCUUGGGAAUACCAGGAGCUGUAAG